CCGGGGCUCGCUCUAUCAACGGCAAAAUCGCCGUUUCCCUCUCCAACUCCGGCGACAAAAGCUUCAAUUCCGGCCACCCUCGUCUUCCUCCGGCCAAACCGAGAACACCUCCGGCUUCCCUGCGUUGAGGCGCAUCCCCGACACCAACUCGCUCGUCCCGGUUCGCCCAAAAUCUCCAGAUCCGUGCUCAUCUGCAAGCUCCGCCAUGGCUGCACAAGUUCGUCCUCGCUACUGUUUGUUCAAGUUGCACCGUGGCCUUCACUUGACACGAUCGACCUGGUAACACAGUGAUCCAGCGCUUGAUGGGCCAUGGACCCAGAUCCUCCGACGAAGCCUGCCACCCCGUGCGUGCAGCUUCAAUCCGUCGCUGCUUGCAGGCCAUGUCCCGGCCCAGUUCUUCCCCGGCGCAGAACCAGGAUAGAUCGGCCCAUCACCCCUCUCUGCAUUUGCUUCUUCCCGGAUAGGAUCACGAAGUGGUGAUGUGAGAUAC
Long non-coding RNA from Lolium rigidum, 490 nucleotides. RefSeq lists it as uncharacterized. Lineage: Eukaryota; Viridiplantae; Streptophyta; Magnoliopsida; Poales; Poaceae. The record is from RefSeq and is a predicted model, not a curated record. The transcript is spliced from 3 exons.